Molecule: long non-coding RNA, 3984 nt
Organism: Eriocheir sinensis (Chinese mitten crab)
Lineage: Eukaryota; Metazoa; Arthropoda; Malacostraca; Decapoda; Varunidae
Exons: 2
Source: RefSeq, a predicted model, not a curated record
UUUCCUUUUUCAGUCCUACUUUUUUUUAUUCCUUACUUCCUUCCUCCUUCACCUCCCUACUUCCUUAUUAUAUCUCUCCCUUACUUCUUUACUUCCUUCCUUCCUUCCUUCUAUACUCGCCUCACAGCUCCCAAAUCCCUUUCUUUCUUACUUCCUUUUUCCUUCUUUACUUUCUUUUUUCCCCCUUAGUUUCUCCUUUUCCUGGUUUCUUCCUCCCUUUUCCUUUUCCUCCAUUUUCAGCUUUUAUCCCUCUCUCCAUUAUUGGCGUUCCUUCUUCUUCUCCUCAGUCCCCUUGUCCCGCCUCUCUUAUUAUCCACCAUUUCACUUUCUCUAUCGUCCACUUUCUCUCUCUCUUCCCUACACUUUUUUCUCUCCCUCCAAUCACACAUUUUUCCGUAACUUUCCAAAUAUUUUCUAUCUUUCUCUUCCUCCACUAACAGCUCCCUUUUUUCCUUCCCUCUCUUUCUCUUCCUCCUCGCAUUUACACUUUCCUUUACCACCUUCCCUUUCAGUUUCUUCCCUCCACAUCUUCUCUCCUUUCACUUCCAGCUCCAUUUUUUCUCCUUUCCUUUCUAUUACCUCUUCCGCCGGUGACGUCACGGCCGUAACCUCGGGGUAAAUACUAGUGUUAUUAUUCUAAUUCAUAUAUCUCGCACAAUACUUAAGAUGGUGGGAGUAAACAAUUAUUGAAGGGAAAAAUGCUCACUUCUUACCCCACAGGGCCGUUAUUUUAAACGUAUCGAGCUGCCUUUACGACUAUUCCCAAGGCCGCGGAGAAGCUUGGCCAAGUUGUCACGGGUGACUUUACCAUUCAUGACGCUGAAGGCGUGUACAGCCAUCACUACGAUCACAAAACAGUCCGUGAAUACCCCGGCAACUUCAACGAGAGGCUUUUCAAACAGGCGAGCCGAGGCGAAGAUUACUUUAUAAAUAAGACCUUCCAUCCAGCCAAUCAGAUCCCGUAGCUAAGCACACCCUCCCUCCAUCAAGCCAAUCAGCUCCCGUAGCUAACAUCUCCCUCCCUCCAUCCAGCCAAUCAGCUCCCGUAGCGAUCUUCACUACAAAAGGUGCAACUAGCUCUAGAUUCAGCCCUAUGCAAUGUCAACUCUGUGCUCCCUAAAACGGCAUAUCGCAAACCGAGGUGAUGUGGUAAAUCUCGACCCUAUACAGGGUAAGAAAAAGGAGGAGGGUGACUCCAUCUCAAGAAAUCAAAAUCGCGUGGCUGAUCCCCGAGGCCAGGCGAGCCUCAGAACCUUAGACACACACACACACACACACACACACACACACACACACACACACACACACACACACACAGGAUAAUGAGGCAGGGGACUAAUGGACUAACGCUCUGCCGUGACAGGAUAGGGAGGCUUCCCUCCAAUAAGGAGCAACGAGAGGAGAGGAAGGCCUCCCAGUGGGAGUUGAAGCAACUCCCGGGGCCGCUGCCGAAGCUGAUGUCGGUCUGCUCCUGCUGCGACAGGAAAAGUUCUCGCGUGUUAUUCGCCUAGCUCACGCAGCACGCACGCACUCACCCCGCAACGCACGCCAGCACGAACUCACUCCCCAACGCACGUUCGCUCGCACUCACCCCCCAACGCACGCACGCACGCACGCACGCACAUACGCAAGCACACACGCACGAACGAUCGGACGCACAAGCACGCACUCACCCCCCACCCACGCUCGCACGCACGAACGCAAGAACACACGCAAGAACGAACGGACGAACACACGCUCGCACACACCCAUCCCCAACGCACGCUCGCACGCACGAACACGAAUACACACGCACGAAGGAACGGAUGAACACACGCUCGCACGCACGAAUACGAGUACACACGCACGAAGGAACGGACGAACACACGCUCGCACGCACCCAUCCCCAGCGCACGCUCGCACGCACGAACACGAGUACACACACGCACGAAGGAACAGAUGAACACACGCUCGCACGCACGAACACGAGCAUACACACGCACGAAGGAACGGACGAACACACGCUCGCACGCACGAACACGAGCAUACACACGCACGAAGGAACGGACGAACACACGCUCGCACUCACGAACACGAGUAUACAUACCCACGAAGGAACGGACGAACACACGCUCGCAGGCACUGACCGCCCAACGCACGCAGCACACAAGCACUCACACACGCAAGCACGCACACAAUCACGUAUCCACGCAUGCACACGCACGCAAGCACACACACUCACGUACAGACGCACGCACCCACGCAAGCAUGCAGGCAGGCACGCACCCACGCAAGCAUGCAGGCAGGCACGCACGCACACACUCACUCACACAAGCAAGCACGCAGCCACGCACGAAAAAACGCACGAACUCACGCAAGUACGUAAGCACGCACGCACGCACGCACGCACGAAGGCACGGACACUCUGAUGACGACCCAGGCAACAAGGCACCCUGACACUCCCUGGACACUCUCUGAACAAUGGAUGGACACUCUGAUGACGACCCACGCAUCUAGCAUUAAGGCCUUAGGUGUUGUGUGUUGGGUAGGGUUGCUGACUCCUCUGGGGUGAAGGAGACUCAUCCUGAGCAGCAUACAGCACCAAGAUAAGGCGAUACAGCUACCCAACACAAGGAAACGGAAAAUAAAGAAAAUAACACCGAAGAAUUAAGAUUACAAUAUAAAGAACACAAACAUAAAGAAGUGAUAGGAACGCAAAAUCAAGAAAAGGAAAAAAAUCUAGCAGAGUAAGUCCUUUGGUGCUGUGUGUUGGGUAGGGUUGCUGACUUCUCUGGGGUGAGGGAGACUCAUCCUGAGCAGCAUACAGCACCAAGAUAGGGCGAUACAGCUAGCCUGCACAACAUCAGGAAACGUAAAAUAAAUAAAAAUAUCAUCGAAGAAUGGAUAUUACUGAAAAAAGGAACACGAUAAUAAAGAACUUGUAGAAAAACAUCAUGAAAGUGAAAACCAAUCAUUGGGGCAAGCAUUAAGGCCUUUGGUGUUGUGUGUUGGGUAGGGUUGCUGACUCCUCUGGGGUGAGGGAGACUCAUCCUGAGCAGCAUACAGCACCAAGAAGAGGCAAUAUAGCUAGCCAACACAACACCAGGAAACGAAAAAUAAUGAUAAAGAACACCGAAGAAUGGAUAUUACUGAAAAGGAACACGAGAAUAAAGAAGUGAUAGAAACACAACAUCAUGAAAGUGAAACAACUCAUUGUGGCAAGCAUUAAGUCCUUUGGUGUUGUGUGUUGGGUAGGGUUGCUGACUCCUCUGGGGUGAGGGAGACUCAUCCUGAGCAGCAUACAGCACCAAGACAAGGCGAUACAGCUAGCCUGCACAACGCCAGGAAACGGAAAAUUAAAUACCGAAGAAACGAUAUUACAGAAAAAGAAUACGAAAAUAAAAAAGUCUUGGAAACACAACAUGGACUGACACUCUGAUGACGACCCACGCAACAAGGCCCCCUGACACUCCCUGGACACUCUCUGAACAAUGGACGGACACUCUGAUGACGACCCACGCAACAAGGCCCCUGACACUCCCUGGACACUCUCUGAACAAUGGACGGACACUCUGAUGACGACCCACGCAACAAGGCCCCUGACACUCCCUGGACACUCUGAACACUGCCCUGACCAUUUGCAACAAAAAAUCUCCUCACGACGUAACCUAAAAUGGACAAAAUCCCCCCCGACAAAAAAAAAAAAAAUAGUUAACUUUCCAAACUAUAACGAAAUAGUUAAGUCACCAACAAGACAUCAAAAUAAAGAAGCCAUAAAAAAGAAAAAGAAAAAAGCAACAAAGAAAUCAACUCAAGCAGUAGUAAAAAAAAAAGACCUAACAAAUCUAAAAAGGUCAACUCCUGAUCAGUCAAAAAAUAGAAAACUAAAAACAUAUAAUGCCAAAAUGUAACGAAAAGUAUGAACUCAAAAGCAAGAAAGAAAAGUAAAAAAAAAGAAAAAAAAAAUUAACCAAAAAUUAAUUCAACACCAAAAAAAAAACGAAA